This 497-nucleotide ribosomal RNA is filed under the name uncultured bacterium. Its description in RNAcentral is "partial 16S ribosomal RNA". It matches the Rfam family "Bacterial small subunit ribosomal RNA", at positions 28 to 507 of the family's 1533-position model. The record is from RNAcentral.
GAUGAACGCUGGCGGCGUGCCUAAUACAUGCAAGUCGAGCGAACAGACGAGGAGCUUGCUCCUCUGCCGUUAGCGGCGGACGGGUGAGUAACACGUGGAUAACCUACCUAUAAGACUGGGAUAACUUCGGGAAACCGGAUCUAAUACCGGAUAAUAUAUUGAACCGCAUGGUUCAAUAGUGAAAGACGGUUUUGCUGUCACUUAUAGAUGGAUCCGCGCCGCAUUAGCUAGUUGGUAAGGUAACGGCUUACCAAGGCAACGAUGCGUAGCCGACCUGAGAGGGUGAUCGGCCACACUGGAACUGAGACACGGUCCAGACUCCUACGGGAGGCAGCAGUAGGGAAUCUUCCGCAAUGGGCGAAAGCUUGACGGAGCAACGCCGCGUGAGUGAAGAAGGUCUUCGGAUCGUAAAACUCUGUUAUUAGGGAAGAACAAAUGUGUAAGUAACUAUGCACGUCUUGACGGUACCUAAUCAGAAAGCCACGGCUAACUACGUG